UGCUUCUUGAAGCCUGCUCAUAUUGCUUACUGUAGAAAUUUAAAUAGAAAUGAAGAUUGCUAGGAUUGUUUGUAAUUUAGGGUGUUGCCUGUGGAAGGCAGGAGGGUGGUAUGCUCUGAGGCCACCCAGAGUGAGGUUAGUUCGGGGUUUGGACUUUGGCCAUGAAGGAUGGGGUCCCUGUUUGCUUUAGUGUGAGGAGUCGGGCCAUCUUUUGGGUAGACUCACAUCAGCUGAGGUUAGAAUACUGAUACUCGUAAAAACUGCCAUUACAGGAGUUUUCUCUUUGGGGCCAGAUUCCCAUGGGAAUGUACUUGAAGAAUCUUCUUUCAGACCAGGGAAGUCAGUCGUGUGAUGUUUAAGGGCAUCAGGCUAAGACAUGUUAUAGUACAUCUUAUGGUAGGGCUGGUCUGGUCAUUGAGACCAGAAGUCCUUGCAAUCCGCUGGCCACGGACUCUUUUCCUUGGACGGGGCUGGGACAGACUCUAUCACCACUGCUCCCAAAGGGCAAUUUGAUCUGUCCUCCAGUGGUUGACCAGUCGUCUUCCUGCUCUGUACCUGCUUUAGGGACCUUAACACAUCUAAACAGAUUACAGCCCUGACCCUUAGGCUGGGACCUUCUUGUUUUUCUCCUGUGCUUCUUCUCAGUUCUUUAAUCCAGUUCCUUUCAAUUUUCUAGAUUGGAUUCAUGUAAGGAAGUCUUCUUGAGGGAUGCUUUGUUCUAGUCUCCAAGUACUGAAGACAGUCAUUGCAGGAGAUGCCAAUGAUAUUUCACAGAUACCCCACCAGCCAGCCCUGGAGGUAUAUGGACAUACAGACAAAUGCAUUUAAGAAAGAUCUACAGGCACCUGGGUGGCAUGGUUGGGUAAGUGUCCAACACUUGAUUUUGGCUCAGGUCAUGAUCUCAGGGUUGUGGGAUCGAGUCCCAUAUUGGGCUCCAUACUCAGCUCACUCACUCUCUCUCAUAUAAAAAAAUCUUUAAAAAAAAAAAAAAAGGUCUAGAAGACUGCACAGAAGGCUCUUAUUAACAGUUACUUCUGGAGAGAAGCAAGGGAUGGGGUUGUGGAUACUGGGGUGACUUUCACUUUUUAUUUUAUACAGCUUGGCACAGCUUUAAUUU
Molecule: long non-coding RNA, 1117 nt
Filed under: Canis lupus familiaris (dog)
Lineage: Eukaryota; Metazoa; Chordata; Mammalia; Carnivora; Canidae
Description: lncRNA (ENSCAFG00000055353.1)
Source: RNAcentral